CCCUUGGAUGUUCUGGGCCGCACGCGCGCUACACUGAUGCAUUCAACGAGUUUCUUCCUGGUCCGAGAGGAAUGGGUAACCUUUUGAAAGUGCAUCGUGAUAGGGAUAGACUAUUGCAAUUAUUGGUCUUCAACGAGGAAUUCCUAGUAGACGUAGUUCAUCAGACUGCAUCGAUUACGUCCCUGCCCUUUGUACACACCGCCCGUCGCUCCUACCGAUUGAAUGCUCAGGUGAGCCAUUCGGACUUUCAUCAUGCUGGUUUCCAGUUUUGAUGAAGGAAAGUCUUGCGAACCUUAUCAUUUAGAGGAAGGAGAAGUCGUAACA
RNAcentral lists this ribosomal RNA (324 nucleotides) under uncultured eukaryote. RNAcentral's name for it is "partial 18S ribosomal RNA". It matches the Rfam family "Eukaryotic small subunit ribosomal RNA", at positions 1470 to 1796 of the family's 1831-position model. The record is from RNAcentral.